This 1439-nucleotide ribosomal RNA is filed under the name uncultured organism. Its description in RNAcentral is "SSU rRNA". It matches the Rfam family "Bacterial small subunit ribosomal RNA". The record is from RNAcentral.
AGGCUUAACACAUGCAAGUCGAGGGGCAGCAUUUUAGUUUGCUUGCAAACUGAAGAUGGCGACCGGCGCACGGGUGAGUAACACGUAUCCAACCUACCGAUAACUCCGGAAUAGCCUUUCGAAAGAAAGAUUAAUACCGGAUAGCAUACGAAUAUCGCAUGAUAUUUUUAUUAAAGAAUUUCGGUUAUCGAUGGGGAUGCGUUCCAUUAGUUUGUUGGCGGGGUAACGGCCCACCAAGACUACGAUGGAUAGGGGUUCUGAGAGGAAGGUCCCCCACAUUGGAACUGAGACACGGUCCAAACUCCUACGGGAGGCAGCAGUGAGGAAUAUUGGUCAAUGGGCGAGAGCCUGAACCAGCCAUGUAGCGUGAAGGAUGAAGGCUCUAUGGGUCGUAAACUUCUUUUAUAUGGGAAUAAAGUUUUCCACGUGUGGAAUUUUGUAUGUACCAUAUGAAUAAGGAUCGGCUAACUCCGUGCCAGCAGCCGCGGUAAUACGGAGGAUCCGAGCGUUAUCCGGAUUUAUUGGGUUUAAAGGGAGCGUAGGUGGAUUGUUAAGUCAGUUGUGAAAGUUUGCGGCUCAACCGUAAAAUUGCAGUUGAAACUGGCAGUCUUGAGUACAGUAGAGGUGGGCGGAAUUCGUGGUGUAGCGGUGAAAUGCUUAGAUAUCACGAAGAACUCCGAUUGCGAAGGCAGCUCACUAGACUGUCACUGACACUGAUGCUCGAAAGUGUGGGUAUCAAACAGGAUUAGAUACCCUGGUAGUCCACACAGUAAACGAUGAAUACUCGCUGUUUGCGAUAUACAGUAAGCGGCCAAGCGAAAGCAUUAAGUAUUCCACCUGGGGAGUACGCCGGCAACGGUGAAACUCAAAGGAAUUGACGGGGGCCCGCACAAGCGGAGGAACAUGUGGUUUAAUUCGAUGAUACGCGAGGAACCUUACCCGGGCUUAAAUUGCAACAGAAUAUAUUGGAAACAGUAUAGCCGUAAGGCUGUUGUGAAGGUGCUGCAUGGUUGUCGUCAGCUCGUGCCGUGAGGUGUCGGCUUAAGUGCCAUAACGAGCGCAACCCUUAUCUUUAGUUACUAACAGGUUAUGCUGAGGACUCUAGAGAGACUGCCGUCGUAAGAUGUGAGGAAGGUGGGGAUGACGUCAAAUCAGCACGGCCCUUACGUCCGGGGCUACACACGUGUUACAAUGGGGGGUACAGAAGGCGGCUACCUGGUGACAGGAUGCUAAUCCCAAAAACCUCUCUCAGUUCGGAUCGAAGUCUGCAACCCGACUUCGUGAAGCUGGAUUCGCUAGUAAUCGCGCAUCAGCCAUGGCGCGGUGAAUACGUUCCCGGGCCUUGUACACACCGCCCGUCAAGCCAUGAAAGCCGGGGGUACCUGAAGUACGUAACCGCAAGGAGCGUCCUAGGGUAAAACUGGUAAUUGGGGCUAAAU